AAAACUUAGCUGUCUCUCGCUCAUACAAAAAACUCUUGCCUUUUUGAGAAAUUUCUCCGUUGUUGAUCGUUAGCAAAGGUAAUUCUUUCAUGAACUCUUCUUCUUCAAUACGAUAUUAAAGCCAUUUGUUCAAGUUUUUAAGCUCUCCAUUAUUAUUCCAGUGAUUGUCAAAAAGUACAAGGAAAGUUUAAAAGUUGGAUCUUGUUGAGGAUUUUAAUUGGUUUUAUGGGUCCUUACUGAAUUUUGGUUAUGAUUAGAUAUGGGGUUUUAAAGCUUUUUGGGUUUCUUGGGAUUUUGAUAUGAUAGUUGCUCAUAAAUUUGUUUGUGGUUUCAGUUGUUUUCUUAGUUUCUGAGUCACCCUUCUGUUUGGUUGGUAAGAAAAAGAGGGAAAUAUAAAAAUUUAGAAUUUUAUGGGUCUUUCUGGUUGGUUUGUGUCUAUCACUGGAGAAAGAAACUUGGUUUGACUGACUGGAACUACUUGGAUUGGGAUCAGUGAAGUUGGGUUUCUGUUUUAUUAAAUAUUCAAGUCCUUUUUUUUUCUUUUUCCUGCAAGAAAACGGUAUAUUAGUGGGUUUGGACUGUGGAGUUGAUGGAUAAUUCGGGUUUGGGAGGUGGGUUUUUAUCAGGUCCGAAUGAAGGGUUGUUUAACAUUGAGUCAUCCGUUCACAGACAGCAACAGCCCCAUUUGAGUCAACCUUCCUUGAUGCCACACAAUCAUAUGGCUAUGAUGAGUGGCCUUGAAAAUGAACACCGUUCCAUUGGAUUAAUGGAGGCAAAAGGCUCUAACUCUAAAGGCGUUUCUGUGAAUUUUGGUAAAGGGAAGGGAGUUAGUCCCAUUAUUGCUCUCACUAAUGGAAGCAUGAGUGAAGAAGAUGAGCCUAGUUACAAUGAAGAUGGAAAUGGUGAGAACUCCAAUGGGGGUAGAGGCAAGAAAGGAUCACCAUGGCAAAGAAUGAAAUGGACGGAUAAUGUGGUUAGGCUUCUAAAAGCUGUGGUUGCUUGUGUGGGUGAUGAUGGUAUGAUUGAGGGUGUGGAGGGGCUUAAGAGAAAAUCUGGGAUUCCGCAAAAGAAGGGCAAGUGGAAAACUGUGUCCAAGAUAAUGAUUAGUAAAGGUUAUCAUGUUUCACCUCAACAGUGUGAGGAUAAAUUUAAUGACUUGAACAAGAGAUAUAAGAAAUUGAAUGAUAUUCUUGGGAGAGGUACUAGUUGUAGAGUGGUUGAGAACCCUUCUCUUAUGGACUCUAUGCCUCACCUCUCAGCUAAGGCAAAGGAUGAUGUAAAGAAAAUAUUGGGCUCUAAACAUUUAUUUUACCAGGAAAUGUGUGCUUACCAUAAUAGACAGAAGAUACCCAAUUGCCAGGAUCUUGAUCUGCGUGGAUGUUCUAUACCUCUUGAGAGAUGCUUGAAAGACAAUAAAGGGUCAGAUGAGGAAGAAGCUGAGGGAAUUGGUGACAGUGAGGAUGAUGAUGAAAUGGCCAAUGAAGAUGACAAUAAUGCUGUUUAUGAGGAGGAAAGGAUUGGUGAGUUCAAUGAGAGGAAGAAAGCAAGUGCAGAGGAAGGCCAUUUCUGGUCACAAUCUGCUGGCCAGGAUUGCUUCAAGAUGGAGAUGGCUGGAAUAUUUCAAGACCCUACAAGGUCAUCAUUGGAGCGAAAGGAGUGGAUUAAGAGACAGAUGCUGCAACUUCAGGAGGAAAGAGUGAACUUGCAGACGGAAGCUUUUGAGCUUGAAAAACAAUGUUUUAAAUGGCUGAGGUACUGCAACAAGAAAGACAGAGAACUAGAAAGGUUAAGGUUGGAGAAUGAAAGGAUGAGGCUUGAGAAUGAGCAGAGUAUAUUGCAACUGAGGCAAAAAGAAUUAGAAGUAGGUUACAGGAGGUCUGAUGCAUCCUUAGACCCCACUUCACUUGGCAUCGACAGACUGCAAGGCAAAGAUCAGAUUGAUACGGGCAGGCAUCAAUAGCUCUUGUAUCACAUUCAAAUCCAUUUGGAAAUAAGAGUUAUAUAGCUAAAGCAUGUGAGGCUGGCUUACUUUUUAAUAAAGUAAAGUACACUAAUCCUGUGAGACCAUGAAAUAACUCUCAUAGCCAUCCUUGUUGAAGAGGAUUCGAUGUGUCAUUUCCCUUUAUGUUCAUAUUGUUCUUAGAAUCCAAGGUUAUAGAUUGUAUGAUCUGUCUGGUGAUAAUCGAGCAAGGCUUUUGCAGUUAAAAGGACAAUUAUUAUUUGGCUGGGUAGAAAGGAGGCACGCAAUGCAUCUGUACUUGCCUCAGUUAAUUCUUUUUCCUUUUCCCCUUAUUUAUGCUACACUGGUUCCAAUUAUUUCUAAUGUAAUUUUGUAUACACUGAUUUUUUUAACCUUUUUCGUUUGCACUAAAGUGCUUUGGAAGAGGUAUGCAUGGCAUGUCAGACAUGUUUGUAUGGUUGUGGGAUGAAAUAUCUCUUGCAAAUGCAUGGUUGUUCCCUGUGCCAAAGAUGGUUGAAGAUGAUGACACCAACUGUCAAAACGGUGUUUGCUGUUCAUGUUUGUAUUUAGAAACUUGCUCGAGCAAUGUCAUGUUAAUUUGCUUACACUAGGACCAUGGCUUUCUCGCAUUGUCUCUCAAUCAGUAAACAUUAAUCUAAUUGUGUUUUAUG
Durio zibethinus is the source of this 2631-nucleotide RNA transcript. RefSeq lists it as uncharacterized. The record is from RefSeq and is a predicted model, not a curated record. Lineage: Eukaryota; Viridiplantae; Streptophyta; Magnoliopsida; Malvales; Malvaceae.